CCCCAGACUCCUACGGGAGGCAGCAGUGGGGAAUAUUGCACAAUGGGGGAAACCCUGAUGCAGCGACGCCGCGUGAGCGAUGAAGUAUUUCGGUAUGUAAAGCUCUAUCAGCAGGGAAGAGGAUGACGGUACCUGACUAAGAAGCCCCGGCUAACUACGUGCCAGCAGCCGCGGUAAUACGUAGGGGGCAAGCGUUAUCCGGAUUUACUGGGUGUAAAGGGAGCGUAGACGGCGAUGCAAGCCAGAUGUGAAAGCCCGGGGCUCAACCCCGGGACUGCAUUUGGAACUGUGUGGCUGGAGUGUCGGAGAGGCAGGCGGAAUUCCUAGUGUAGCGGUGAAAUGCGUAGAUAUUAGGAGGAACACCAGUGGCGAAGGCGGCCUGCUGGACGAUGACUGACGUUGAGGCUCGAAAGCGUGGGGAGCAAACAGGAUUAGAUACCCUAGUA
This 446-nucleotide ribosomal RNA is filed under the name uncultured bacterium. RNAcentral describes it as "bacterial SSU rRNA". It matches the Rfam family "Bacterial small subunit ribosomal RNA", at positions 329 to 792 of the family's 1533-position model. The record is from RNAcentral.